This is a long non-coding RNA of Phasianus colchicus (ring-necked pheasant), 2345 nucleotides long. Lineage: Eukaryota; Metazoa; Chordata; Aves; Galliformes; Phasianidae. The record is from Ensembl.
CGUCAUUCAGAUCCGGAGCCCACGUGCCGAACUGUCAGAGUCCCGGCCCGGCCCUAACGAGACCCAGCCGCGUUAACGAGCGCCAGGUGCCGCGAGGCCGCGCCCGCCCGCGCACAGCUGCGCCUCGUCCGGAGCUCGGGGGCGGAACCCGUCGCAAAGCCUCUUAAGCUCCACCGGAGGCAGACGGGAGCUACGAAGCAGUUCUCCGGGUUCCUCGGCUGCGGGGACAGAGCCGGUUCUGUGUCUUCGUCCACGCGUAGCGCCGUCGGGGCUGAGAAGGUACGUGAGGGGCUGUUUUGAAAUGAAAUCCUGUAAACGUAACGUUACCUGUUGCUUUGUUUCAGGCUGCAGCGAGACCGCGCGCAGUAAGGAUCAGCCCGACCCGGGGAGUCGCGAGGGCCGUCCAAGCCGCUGGUUUUGUGUCGGCGAAGCGCUGCCGUCGGGCUCUCCCGGUUCUUCGGAGCCGGAGUAACAUCGCCGCCCGGCUUUCAUCGUAUGUUCGGAAGGGGCCGACGCGGGGCCGCGGCUCGUUUCCACGAGUCGCGGCGCUCUCAGCGCCCCGGGGUUAUUCGGCGGACGCCUCGGUACCUCCGGCCGUCAUCGGCGGGACCGUGCGGGACCGUGUCGCUUUAGCCUGCGUGCUGCUGGGGUUGAGAAGCGACACGAAAGGUUACUAAGACUUAAGUUUAUCUUAUUGCAGGCGGAGCGAGGACCGCGGCGGAGCAUCUCGUCGGCCCCAACCGGCGAGCGCCUGGGGUCCCCAGGUAAGCCCUCCUGCUGGGGGUUUGCGUAGUGGCGUCGCUCGGCUAUUUCGGCGUCUUUCGGGUCGGCACGGUGCCGUUGCCGAGCUCUCGCGCAGCAUUUAGAGAAGCCGGCACGGGGCCGCGGCUCGUUUCCACGAGUCCCGACGCGGCGCUCUCAGCGCCCCGGGGUUUUUCGGCGGACGCUUCGGCACCUCCGGCCGUCAUCGGCGGGAGCGAGCGGGACCGGACCGUGUCGUUUUAGUCUGCGUGCUGCUAGGGUUGAGAAGCGACAGGAAGGGUUGCUAAGACUUAAGUUUAUCUUAUUGCAGGCGGAGCGAGGACCGCGGCAGAGCAUCUCGUCGGUCCAACCGGCGAGCGCCUGGGGUCCCCAGGUAAGCUCUCCUGCUGGGGGUUUGCGUAGUGCCGCCGCUCGGCUAUUUCGGCGUCUUUCGGGUCUGCACGGUGCUGUUUCCGAGCUCUCGCUUUUUUUUUUUUUUUUUUUAGGGAAGCCGGCACGGGGCCGUCGCCCGGCUCCCCGAGAUCGAGCACAGCUCUGCGUUGGUCUGAGCCCUUCCCGCGCCCAGCAGCGGGAGCGGGUAGGACGGGACCGCGUGUCUCUUUUCUUUCUCACAGUUAUGCCGAAGACACUCCGGCGUGGCGACGGAGUCGCGGCUAACGCGAGGGAACCGAACGGACCGAACUCCGCCCGGGGACGAACGGAGAGCGGAGCGCUCGACGGCGCGUCAAGGCGGGAAACGUCCCCGGUCGUCAUAGACUAGGACGAGGAAGCCGAUUCCCCCCGGUGAGACUGCUUCUGCCUGCUGGCUCUGCAGCUCGAGAACGGUGGUAAGUUUGCGACAGUGAGCAAGAUGGGAAUAUUACCACUGCGGUUUGGGCUUUUUUGGAUGCGUAUGGGGGGGUACUCAGCAGUGGAGAGGGGCAUGAUGUUCUGAGAAGUGAAUGCAAGAAGUUGUAUGUCACAUGAAGCAAGACUAACUUGCCUGUUGAGCGUCUUUCUCUGGGGCUAUUUGGGCUGUGUCCGGAUGCCGUGCUGUUGGUAAGCCGCUUUAGCGAAGGAGCGUGACUUGACUGCCUCUGGAAGAGCCUUUUCUAUCCUUACAGCUCUGCCAUUUCCAUGUCCCUGCAGGACGAGGGCUGGUGGAGCUCUUUGUUGCAGGUUCAGGAUCCUGGCGCCUUGUCCUUUUUUUUCCCUGACAGGUAGGUGCUGUUCCUUGAGGUGAAGCUUCCCUGCUUGAAUUUCAGGACUGAAAGUGUGGGAUUGAUGGAGCGAGAGGUAGGAAGUAUUCCCUGCGGUAGGGCUUGUGAUGGUAUGUUGUCUGUUUUUUUUCCUGUUAGGUUGUUGAGCUGGUCUUUGGAAAGCUGCCGAGGUGGUGGAGCUGACCUGAGAGGUAGGUGUGCUGUGCUCCUUGUAGUUUUGUUGUGUUGCUUGCUUUGUUUCCCUUUGGGGGGUGGUAGUGGGUUGCUUGGGUGCUGGAGGCCAGGGUUUGCACUAUCUCAGAGAGAUUAUUUUUUUUGGGUGGGGGGUGGGUGCACUGGUCGGCAUUGGAAAAUUUUUGAGAGAGGGGGCCCUGCUGGGCUGUG